Molecule: ribosomal RNA, 748 nt
Filed under: uncultured archaeon RSS50-9
Lineage: Archaea
Description: bacterial SSU rRNA
Rfam family: Archaeal small subunit ribosomal RNA
Source: RNAcentral
ACCAGGGGUCUGGGAUAACCCCAGGAAACUGGGGAUAAUACCGGAUGGGUCACUACUUUUGGAAUGGGUGGUGACUGAAAGGCGACGCCCUUGGAUGGGUCUGCGGCGGAUUAGGUUGACGCCGGUGUAACGUACCGGCGUGCCUGUAAUCCGUACGGGUUGUGGGAGCAAGAGCCCGGAGAUGGAUUCUGAGACACGAAUCCAGGCCCUACGGGGCGCAGCAGGCGCGAAAACUCUACAAUGCAGGCAACUGCGAUAGGGGGACAUCGAGUGGCAACCCACCUUGGGUGCCUGUCCCACCGUCUAAAAAACGGUGGUUAGCAAGGGCCGGGUAAGACCAGUGCCAGCCGCCGCGGUAAUACCGGCGGCUCGAGUGGUGGCCGAUAUUAUUGAAUCUAAAGGGUCCGUAGCCGGCUUUGCAAUUCCCCCGGGAAAUCCAGCGGCUUAACCGUUGGGCUUCCGUGGGAUACUACAUUGCUUGGGACUGGGAGAGGUAGGAGGUACUCCGGGGGGUAGGGGUGAAAUCCCUGUAAUCCUCCGGGGACCACCGGUUGGCGAAGGCGUCCUACCAGAACAGGUCCGACGGUGAGGGACGAAAGCUAGGGGCACGAACCGGAUUAGAUACCCGGGUAGUCCUAGCCGUAAACGAUGCCCGCUAGGUGUCACGGCAGUCGUGAACUGCCGUGGUGCCGUAGGGAAGCCGUGAAGCGGGCCACUUGGGAAGUACGACCGCAAGGUUGAAACUUAA